CCUUAGGGUUGUAAAGUCCCGUUUUCGGGCGGGGAAGAUAAUGACGGUACCCGCAGAAAGAAAGCCCCGGCUAACUUCGUGC
RNAcentral lists this ribosomal RNA (82 nucleotides) under uncultured bacterium. RNAcentral's name for it is "partial 16S ribosomal RNA". The record is from RNAcentral.